RNAcentral lists this ribosomal RNA (253 nucleotides) under uncultured bacterium. RNAcentral's name for it is "partial 16S ribosomal RNA". It matches the Rfam family "Bacterial small subunit ribosomal RNA", at positions 524 to 776 of the family's 1533-position model. The record is from RNAcentral.
UACGGAGGGUGCAAGCGUUAAUCGGAAUUACUGGGCGUAAAGCGUGCGUAGGCGGUUUGUUUAGUCAGAUGUGAAAGCCCCGGGCUCAACCUGGGAACUGCAUUUGAUACUGGCAGACUAGAGUAUGGUAGAGGGGGGUAGAAUUCCUGGUGUAGCGGUGAAAUGCGUAGAGAUCUGGAGGAAUACCGGUGGCGAAGGCGGCCCCCUGGACGAAGACUGACGCUCAGGUGCGAAAGCGUGGGGAGCAAACAGG